GACGAACCGUGCGAACGUUAUUCGGAAUCACUGGGCUUAAAGCGCGUGUAGGCGGGACGGCACGUCGGUCGCUGAAAGCCCCCCGGCUCAACCGGGGAACGGGCGCCGAUACGACCGCCCUGGAGGAACGUAGGGGGACCUGGAACUUCCGGUGGAGCGGUGAAAUGCGUUGAGAUCGGAAGGAACGCCCGUGGCGAAAGCGAGGUCCUGGACGUUUACUGACGCUGAGACGCGAAAGCCAGGGGAGCGAACGGG
This 255-nucleotide ribosomal RNA is filed under the name uncultured bacterium. Its description in RNAcentral is "partial 16S ribosomal RNA". It matches the Rfam family "Bacterial small subunit ribosomal RNA", at positions 524 to 776 of the family's 1533-position model. The record is from RNAcentral.